This 21-nucleotide non-coding RNA is filed under the name Caenorhabditis elegans. The record is from RNAcentral. Lineage: Eukaryota; Metazoa; Nematoda; Chromadorea; Rhabditida; Rhabditidae.
UGUAUCCUUCCGUCAUUGUGC